RNAcentral lists this long non-coding RNA (1032 nucleotides) under Homo sapiens (human). RNAcentral's name for it is "HSALNT0388488". Lineage: Eukaryota; Metazoa; Chordata; Mammalia; Primates; Hominidae. The record is from RNAcentral.
UUUUUUUUUUUUUUUUUUUUUUAAACCCAGGGCCCAGGAAAGUUAUGCAAAGCAAUUACUCAACUUAGGCAGCCCAGGGAGGGACCACCAUCUUCCAACUGCUCCACCUCCCACUACGUUUGUCUUUGCCUCCUUUCCCUUCCCAUCAGGGUUCAUGACCAAGGAGACGCAAUUCUGUGAGCCUAAGUCUCUGCUGGUCUGGUCCUCUUGGCUCUCUUGAGAGACCCAAGUACAGGUGACUUCCCUGACUCUGGCUGGGCUCCGUAAGCUGUCUUGAGGCUACGCAGCGUCUAAGGCGUUAUCCUUAACCUCCAGCUCCCUCCGGCUUUGCUUUUCUCUCUCUUCUUGACUCUUCUGAAGUUUUUCCUUGUUCCUGUCUCUCUUCCUCCUGUCUGCUGCAGCCUCACACACCAGACAGUUCUCAAGAUGUCCUUCGGGGGAGCCUCCAGGAAGGAAAGAGACAAAGGAGAUAGAAGAAGUGGAAUAAGGGGAAAGAUAAGAACUGGAAAGCUGAACCAUAGCCCAGACCCAAGCAGGAGAAAGAGCAAGAAAUGCCUAUGAGAAAGCCGGAAAGAAACCCCUGGAAUUUGGAAGAAAAUGUCUAAAAGGGAAUGGCAAGGAACCUGAGGAACCAGCGUGAGGAAAACCUGGAUGAUCUGACGUCUUCCUCACUUUAUCCCUACCUGUCCACGCCUCCAUCCAUCCACCCAUCCAUCACUGAUCAAGCUCUCACUAUGUCUAUAGUGUAGAAGGUGCCACCAAAUGCAAUGGAACCUCUUGUCUCAUGUGUCUACUUGCAUCUUUAAGUUGAUACACGGAAGGCACAGUCCAAGCACAGGAUACUGGAAGCUAUGGAGGUACAGUGGCCUCUGAGCAAACUGAAAACUCUCUAUCACUAAAGGGUUGGGCAUACAGGGUAUCUCCUCUGCUCUGCCACCUACCUUGAGGAUGCUUUACAUGUGGCUAAAAGUGGAGGCAGAGAUAUUUGGAUAAAUAAAUGCUAGAGAAUUGGAAAUUCCUAGGACAAGUCAA